UUUGUGCCUUCAGCAAGCCGGGCUGUGUCUCAACCUCACAGCACUCCUCCCACGGGCCUGGGAAGGCAAAUGUGUUUUCUGAACUGUGUUGAGACCGUGUGUGUGUGUGUGUGUGUGUGUGUGUGUGUGUGUGUGUGUGUGUGUGUUGGGGUGUCUUGUGAAGUCCUGCUAACCUCUUGUCAGCAGAAUAUUCGAGAAAUGCUUCUGAGAAGAGAGAGGAAGAUGACUUCAGAGGCUGCUUGUGGUCUCUCACUCAAGUGAGGAAAGUGGGAACCGCCAUACCGUGUCUGGAUUCGGUGGGAUCGUGUGUGUCCAGCAGCAGUCGCGCAGCGCCUGGCGUGAGUAGUGGGUGCACGCCGGCCCCGCCAUGUGCACCUUCUGUGACGACCCUAAGUCAGGGUGGUGUUUCUUAGCAGUGCAGAACACGAAGCCCUUAUAACUUCUCCUAGAAACGAAGCCUGUGUUGACCUCUCCACCUCAGGGGGGAAUCGGUGAAGUACUUCCUGGACAACUUGGACCGGAUCGGCCAGCUGAAUUACUUUCCUAGUAAGCAAGAUAUCCUGCUGGCUAGGAAAGCCACCAAGGGAAUUGUGGAGCAUGACUUCGUUAUUAAGAAGAUCCCCUUUAAGAUGGUGGAUGUGGGCGGCCAGCGGUCCCAGCGCCAGAAGUGGUUCCAGUGCUUCGACGGGAUCACGUCCAUCCUGUUCAUGGUCUCCUCCAGCGAGUACGACCAGGUCCUCAUGGAGGACAGGCGCACCAACCGGCUGGUGGAGUCCAUGAACAUCUUCGAGACCAUCGUCAACAACAAGCUCUUCUUCAACGUCUCCAUCAUUCUCUUCCUCAACAAGAUGGACCUCCUGGUGGAGAAGGUGAAGACCGUGAGCAUCAAGAAGCACUUCCCGGACUUCAGGGGCGACCCGCACAGGCUGGAGGACGUCCAGCGCUACCUGGUCCAGUGCUUCGACAGGAAGAGACGGAACCGCAGCAAGCCACUCUUCCACCACUUCACCACCGCCAUCGACACCGAGAACGUCCGCUUCGUGUUCCAUGCUGUGAAGGACACCAUCCUGCAGGAGAACCUGAAGGACAUCAUGCUGCAGUGAGCAAGGAAGCCCCGGGGUUUGUCGUCGUUGAGCAGCCUCCACGGCUGUGGGUCAGACUCUUGGGUGUGUGUUGUCUGUGUGGUCCUUGAGUGGGUUUCUCGGAUCCGUGCCCUGGAAUACCUGGCUCAGGAAUGCUGUCAGACCAGCCAGCCAGCGAGCUCUAGGCAAAAGGACAUGGAAACUGUCACGUUAGCUACUGAAUCCUGGGGGCGAGUGAAACUACUGAAAAUCCGAGUGAUGAUGUUGUGAAUACGGAACACCUAAUCACACAGCUUGCUUUGCUUUUACAGAAACGUUCCUCUUUUUCUGACGCAGUUUAAUUGAGGACCGUGUUGUGUGUGUAUGUGUGUACACACACGCUCUGUCUUUAAUGGCAGAAACACAAAAACCAGCUGGCCUUGCAGACGGCUUUUCUAACUCAACAGUCUUCCCUGAGACAGACUAACCUGAAAGCUUUGCCUAACGGUAGCUUGUAGAGAUCCAGUGCACGCCGAUGCUGCUAAACUCAGAGUGCCUGAGCCCGGCCCCGCAGCCCCAGCCGCAGUGUCUGAAGGCCACCUCCCAAAGGGAGCACGUUGCCUUUUCAAACUCCCGUGCCGAUUUCCUAAGAGCCCCUAGUCCAAGCCUCUCAGAUGAAGCUGAGGAGCCGUGCCUAGGAUCCCUUCCCAGCUCUGAGGACGGGCUGCGGAGCUCUGCAGGUGUGGAUUCACCUUACGCCUCUACAGCAGGCUCAGCCCUUCCCACCCUGCCCGAUGCCCAGCAGCACAACACGGAGUGAGACAGGAUGCCCACGGUGACUGCCACUCCGUCCGUGCACACACAGCGGUGCUCUUCUCCCCUUAGCCACCCACUGCCCAACCCAACGGCAAAGACACAGAAACCAGGUCCCCUUGCAGAUGGCUCUCCCAUCUUCCUGCAAGUCAUCUGCUCACACACAGCUGGCAGCACAUAGUGUUUCCUUCUUUCAGAAACAUUCCUCUUCUGGGGCUUCAGAAAGCUGGCAAGGCCACUAGCAGAGCUUUUGUUAAUGCCCCAGCUGCUUGGCGAGCUAACAGCUGACCUUUCGGGAAGCCCACAGACGCUGGAGGAAUCUUGAGUUUCUCCAAACUGCCGCUCCACCAGUGCCUUUGGACAGCCGUGCCUGUUCGCCGCUCUCCCUAAGUCUGAUUCUCAUCGAGGCCCCUCGCUUCUAUGACUGUGCUUGCAGAAGAGUAAACACUCUCGGAUGCCGCUGUCCUGGGGGAGCCCGCGGGAGCCUGUGAAUGUUGAUACGAGCUGGCCAGGCCUGGGCCCAGCUCACUUGUCCAGCUACCUGCCAGGUGGCUUUCACUGUGUUUAAAAUACAUUGCAUUCCAAGCUGG
Molecule: small RNA, 2464 nt
Filed under: Pan troglodytes (chimpanzee)
Lineage: Eukaryota; Metazoa; Chordata; Mammalia; Primates; Hominidae
Description: processed transcript
Source: RNAcentral